Molecule: ribosomal RNA, 1237 nt
Filed under: metagenome
Description: bacterial SSU rRNA
Rfam family: Bacterial small subunit ribosomal RNA
Source: RNAcentral
AGAGUUUGAUCAUGGCUCAGAUUGAACGCUGGCGGCAGGCCUAACACAUGCAAGUCGAGCGCGAAAGGCUUUCGGGCUGAGUAGAGCGGCGGACGGGUGAGUAACGCGUAGGAAUCUACCUGGUAGUGGGGGACAACUUGGGGAAACUCAAGCUAAUACCGCAUACGCCCCAAGGGGGAAAGCGGGGGACCUUCGGGCCUCGCGCUAUCGGAUGAGCCUGCGUAGGAUUAGCUAGUUGGUAGGGUAAAGGCCUACCAAGGCGACGAUCCUUAACUGGUCUGAGAGGAUGAUCAGUCACACUGGAACUGAGACACGGUCCAGACUCCUACGGGAGGCAGCAGUGGGGAAUAUUGGACAAUGGGCGCAAGCCUGAUCCAGCCAUGCCGCGUGUGUGAAGAAGGCCUUCGGGUUGUAAAGCACUUUCACUUGGGAAGAAAAGCUGACCGUUAAUAGCGGUUAGCCGUGACAUUACCUUGAGAAGAAGCACCGGCUAACUCCGUGCCAGCAGCCGCGGUAAUACGGAGGGUGCGAGCGUUAAUCGGAAUUACUGGGCGUAAAGCGCGCGUAGGCGGUUUGUUAAGUCAGCUGUGAAAGCCCCGGGCUCAACCUGGGAACUGCAGUUGAUACUGGCCGACUAGAGUACGAGAGAGGGAGGUAGAAUUCCAUGUGUAGCGGUGAAAUGCGUAGAUAUAUGGAGGAAUACCGGUGGCGAAGGCGGCCUCCUGGCUCGAUACUGACGCUGAGGUGCGAAAGCGUGGGGAUCAAACAGGAUUAGAUACCCUGGUAGUCCACGCCGUAAACGAUGUCUACUAGCCGUUGGGAGACUUGAUUUCUUAGUGGCGCAGCUAACGCAAUAAGUAGACCGCCUGGGGAGUACGGCCGCAAGGUUAAAACUCAAAUGAAUUGACGGGGGCCCGCACAAGCGGUGGAGCAUGUUGUUUAAUUCGAUGCAACGCGAAGAACCUUACCAGGUCUUGACAUCCAGAGAACUUUCCAGAGAUGGAUUGGUGCCUUCGGGAGCUCUGAGACAGGUGCUGCAUGGCUGUCGUCAGCUCGUGUCGUGAGAUGUUGGGUUAAGUCCCGUAACGAGCGCAACCCUUGUCCUUAGUUGCCAGCGAGUAAUGUCGGGAACUCUAAGGAGACUGCCGGUGACAAACCGGAGGAAGGUGGGGACGACGUCAAGUCAUCAUGGCCCUUACGACCUGGGCUACACACGUGCUACAAUGGAACGCACAGA